UACGGGAGGCAGCAGUGGGGAAUCUUCCACAAUGGGUGCAAACCUGAUGGAGCAAUGCCGCGUGAGUGAAGAAGGUCUUCGGAUCGUAAAGCUCUGUUGUUAGAGAAGAACACGUGCUAGGUAACUACUAGCGCCUUGACGGUAUCUAACCAGAAAGUCACGGCUAACUACGUGCCAGCAGCCGCGGUAAU
This 191-nucleotide ribosomal RNA is filed under the name uncultured Dolosigranulum sp. Its description in RNAcentral is "partial 16S ribosomal RNA". It matches the Rfam family "Bacterial small subunit ribosomal RNA", at positions 340 to 524 of the family's 1533-position model. Lineage: Bacteria; Bacillati; Bacillota; Bacilli; Lactobacillales; Carnobacteriaceae. The record is from RNAcentral.